CAAAUACCUGUAUUCAAAUGGUAAGGACACAAGUAGUCUGUUUAUGGAAUAACAAGAAAAGCUCAACGGGAAUCAAGAGCCUUGCCGUGUCACUGGUCCCAAGACUUAUCGCUAGAUCUCCAGGAGUACUAAGUGUUAGACCUGCACAACAUGGUAUAGCCUCAUCAUCAGCAACUUUGUAUUCCAUAUACAAAAAAUCCAGUUGCACUAUACAAUUCCAACAUUUCCCGAAGCUUGUGUAGUUGAAUCUGUACCUGCCAAACUAUUAGGAUUGUCUCCUGACCACUGAACAACCACACAGUUCUUUUCAAAACCGUAUCUGCAACAAAAACAACAACAAAAAGUUGAUGAAUUCGGCACCUUCUAUUAACUAAUUGAGAAGACACAAGCGUCAGAGGUACAACAAACCUGUGAACAAAGUACUGAGAAAUGGAACCAGCAGUAGCAUAAGCUGGUGCUAACUUCCCAAGCUUUUCCUCCAAACCCGUAGCUGUAGCCUGCAAAGUUU
Long non-coding RNA from Brassica rapa (field mustard), 508 nucleotides. RefSeq lists it as uncharacterized. Lineage: Eukaryota; Viridiplantae; Streptophyta; Magnoliopsida; Brassicales; Brassicaceae. The record is from RefSeq and is a predicted model, not a curated record.